ACGGCUCAGUAACACGUGGACAACCUACCCUGAAGAGGGGGAUAACCCCGGGAAACUGGGGAUAAUACCCCAUAGACUAUGGAUGCUGGAAUGCUCUGUAGUUCAAAGGUCCGCCGCUUCAGGAUGGGUCUGCGGCCGAUUAGGUUGUUGUUGGGGUAACGGCCCAACAAGCCUGUAAUCGGUACGGGUUGUGGGAGCAAGAGCCCGGAGAUGGAUUCUGAGACACGAAUCCAGGCCCUACGGGGCGCAGCAGGCGCGAAAACUUUGCAAUGCGAGAAAUCGUGACAAGGGAACUCCGAGUGCCUGUAAAAUCAGGCUGUCCGCCAGUGUAAACAACUGGUGAAGAAAGGGCCGGGCAAGACCGGUGCCAGCCGCCGCGGUAAUACCGGCGGCUCGAGUGGUGGCCACUAUUACUGGGCUUAAAGCGUUCGUAGCUGGCUUGUUAAGUCUCUGGGGAAAUCUUCCGGCUUAACCGGAAGGCGUCUCAGGGAUACUGGCAGGCUAGGGACCGGAAGAGGUGAGAGGUACUCCAGGGGUAGGAGUGAAAUCCUGUAAUCCUUGGGGGACCACCUGUGGCGAAGGCGUCUCACCAGGACGGCUCCGACAGUGAGGAACGAAAGCUGGGGGAGCAAACCGGAUUAGAUACCCGGGUAGUCCCAGCUGUAAACGAUGCGCGUUAGGUGUAUCGGUGACCACGAGUCACCGAGGUGCCGAAGAGAAAUCGUGAAACGCGCCGCCUGGGAAGUACGGUCGCAAGGCUGAAACUUAAAGGAAUUGGCGGGGGAGCAC
Molecule: ribosomal RNA, 789 nt
Filed under: uncultured archaeon
Lineage: Archaea
Description: bacterial SSU rRNA
Rfam family: Archaeal small subunit ribosomal RNA
Source: RNAcentral